CACGUAGGGUGCAAGCGUUGUCCGGAAUUAUUGGGCGUAAAGGGCUCGUAGGCGGUCCGUCACGUCGGGAGUGAAAACUCGGGGCUCAACCCCGAGCCUGCUUUCGAUACGGGCGGACUAGAGGUAGGUAGGGGAGAACGGAAUUCCUGGUGUAGCGGUGGAAUGCGCAGAUAUCGGGAGGAACACCGGUGGCGAAGGCGGUUCUCUGGGCCUUACCUGACGCUGAGGAGCGAAAGCGUGGGGAGCGAACAGG
This 253-nucleotide ribosomal RNA is filed under the name uncultured bacterium. Its description in RNAcentral is "partial 16S ribosomal RNA". It matches the Rfam family "Bacterial small subunit ribosomal RNA", at positions 524 to 776 of the family's 1533-position model. The record is from RNAcentral.